UACGUAGGUGGCAAGCGUUAUCCGGAAUGAUUGGCGUAAAGCGUCCGCAGGUGGCUAUGUAAGUCUGCUGUUAAAGAGUGAGGCUCAACCUCAUAAGAGCAGUGGAAACUACAUAGCUAGAGUGCGUUCGGGGCAGAGGGAAUUCCUGGUGUAGCGGUGAAAUGCGUAGAUAUCAGGAAGAACACCGGUGGCGAAAGCGCUCUGCUAGGCCGCAACUGACACUGAGGGACGAAAGCUAGGGGAGCGAAUGGGAUUAGAACCGUG
This 264-nucleotide ribosomal RNA is filed under the name uncultured bacterium. Its description in RNAcentral is "partial 16S ribosomal RNA". It matches the Rfam family "Bacterial small subunit ribosomal RNA", at positions 524 to 790 of the family's 1533-position model. The record is from RNAcentral.